AUGUACACACAUACUCUGGUUUCAUUGCAUCGCAUCCAUGGAUUUGGGGCCUUGGCAACUGACGAAGCUUCAUGCAGAUUUGGGGCUUUGGCAACUGACGAAGCUUCAUGCAUCUCUGCAAUAGUGGUGGCAGGUGAGAUGAUGGUGGAUGAGAAGGGAAGGUGUGGGAGGUGCAGGGAGUGGCAGGAGCACUACUACUGGGAGCACAUGGAGGAUGUGAGCAAGAUCAGCUUCUUCAAGCUCAUGACAGGAGAUUUUCAGCAGCGGAUUAGCAUACCAGAGAAGAUUGCCAACAAUUUCAUCGGGAAGAUCUCCACUGGAGGAUUCACCCUCAAAGCACCAAGCGGCGAGGAAUGGCGCGUUGGUGGCGAAAAGAUUGCUGAUGAGCUGUUCUUCAUGCCAGGAUGGGAGGAAUUUGCCAAGGCUCACGAACUGCAGGAGAACGACCUCCUGCUCUUCAAAUGCAGUGGCAAUGGCUCCUUUGAUGUACUCAUAUUUGACCCUAGCGGCUGCGAGAAGGUUUCAUGUUUCUUUGCCAAUAAAAAGGGUACCAGUAUGCACAAACAGUUCACCAACAUUGUGGGUCAACAAGGUGAAGAACAUUGCAUGUUGAGCGAUUCGGAAGAAGCUAGCAUGCCGCUGUCGGAGCCGGUUGGGCGUCCUCACAAGGCCUCUACUUCAAAGAAACCAAGGAAAGAGACUGAAUCUCCAAAGAACAACAACUAUUUUCUUAAGAACGAGGCGGUGGAGGAAGAAGAGGAAAGUGAUGACCACCACACUGAAUCCGACUACUACUACUACUCAAGGUUUGCGAAUUGCCUGACUGAAGAUGAACGAGAGGAAAUAUUCGGGCUGGCAUCAAUUCAAUUAGGCAACCCUGUGUAA
This 885-nucleotide ribosomal RNA is filed under the name Triticum aestivum (bread wheat). Its description in RNAcentral is "partial small subunit ribosomal RNA". Lineage: Eukaryota; Viridiplantae; Streptophyta; Magnoliopsida; Poales; Poaceae. The record is from RNAcentral.